UACGUAGGGGGCAAGCGUUGUCCGGAAUCAUUGGGCGUAAAGAGCGUGUAGGCGGCUCGGUAAGUCCGCUGUAAAAGUCCAGGGCUCAACCCUGGAAAGCCGGUGGAAACUGUCGAGCUAGAGUCCGGAAGAGGCGAGUGGAAUUCCUGGUGUAGCGGUGAAAUGCGCAGAUAUCAGGAGGAACACCAAUGGCGAAGGCAGCUCGCUGGGACGGUACUGACGCUGAGGCACGAAAGCGUGGGGAGCAAACAGG
Molecule: ribosomal RNA, 253 nt
Filed under: uncultured bacterium
Lineage: Bacteria
Description: partial 16S ribosomal RNA
Rfam family: Bacterial small subunit ribosomal RNA
Source: RNAcentral